Podospora conica is the source of this 72-nucleotide non-coding RNA. NCBI's taxonomy places the organism in Eukaryota, Fungi, Ascomycota, Sordariomycetes, Sordariales, Podosporaceae. The record is from the annotation of a GenBank genome assembly.
GGCCGUGUGGUGUAGUGGUAGCAUACUUGCUUUGGGUGCAAGUGGUCCAGGGUUCAAGCCCCUGCUCGGCCC